RNAcentral lists this ribosomal RNA (278 nucleotides) under uncultured bacterium. RNAcentral describes it as "partial 16S ribosomal RNA". It matches the Rfam family "Bacterial small subunit ribosomal RNA", at positions 506 to 784 of the family's 1533-position model. The record is from RNAcentral.
UGCCAGCAGCCGCGGUAAUACGGAGGGUGCGAGCGUUAAUCGGAAUUACUGGGCGUAAAGCGCACGUAGGCGGAUUAGUAAGUUAGGGGUGAAAUCCCGGGGCUCAACCCCGGAACUGCCUCUAAUACUGCUAGUCUUGAGUUCGAGAGAGGUGAGUGGAAUUCCGGUGUAGCGGUGAAAUGCGUAGAUAUCGGAAGGAACACCAGUGGCGAAGGCGGCUACCUGGCCUGAUACUGACACUGAGGCACGAAAGCGUGGGGAGCAAACAGGAUUAGAUA